AGUGAACGCUGGCGGUAGGCCUAACACAUGCAAGUCGAACGGCAGCACAGUAAGAGCUUGCUCUUACGGGUGGCGAGUGGCGGACGGGUGAGGAAUACAUCGGAAUCUACUUUUUCGUGGGGGAUAACGUAGGGAAACUUACGCUAAUACCGCAUACGACCUACGGGUGAAAGCAGGGGAUCUUCGGACCUUGCGCGAUUGAAUGAGCCGAUGUCGGAUUAGCUAGUUGGCGGGGUAAAGGCCCACCAAGGCGACGAUCCGUAGCUGGUCUGAGAGGGUGAUCAGCCACACUGGAACUGAGACACGGUCCAGACUCCUACGGGAGGCAGCAGUGGGGAAUAUUGGACAAUGGGCGCAAGCCUGAUCCAGCCAUACCGCGUGGGUGAAGAAGGCCUUCGGGUUGUAAAGCCCUUUUGUUGGGAAAGAAAAGCAGCAGGUUGAUACCCCGCUGUUCUGACGGUACCCAAAGAAUAAGCACCGGCUAACUUCGUG
Molecule: ribosomal RNA, 492 nt
Filed under: uncultured bacterium
Lineage: Bacteria
Description: partial 16S ribosomal RNA
Rfam family: Bacterial small subunit ribosomal RNA
Source: RNAcentral